Molecule: ribosomal RNA, 535 nt
Filed under: uncultured Gammaproteobacteria bacterium
Lineage: Bacteria; Pseudomonadati; Pseudomonadota; Gammaproteobacteria
Description: bacterial SSU rRNA
Rfam family: Bacterial small subunit ribosomal RNA
Source: RNAcentral
AGAGUUUGAUCCUGGCUCAGAUUGAACGCUGGCGGUAUGCUUAAGACAUGCAAGUCGAACGGUAACGACAUCUAGCUUGCUAGAUGGGCGACGAGUGGCGGACGGGUGAGUACAACAUAGGAAUCUAUCCAGUAGCUGGGGAUAACGUGGUGAAAACCACGCUAAUACCGAAUACGCACUACGGUGGAAAGAGGGGGAUCUUCGGACCUCUCACUAUCGGGUGAGCCUAUGCCGGAUUAGCUAGUUGGUGGGGUAAUGGCCUACCAAGGCAACGAUCCGUAGCUGUUCUGAGAGGAAGAUCAGCCACACUGGGACUGAGACACGGCCCAGACUCCUACGGGAGGCAGCAGUCGGGAAUAUUGGACAAUGGGGGCAACCCUGAUCCAGCAAUACCGCGUGUGUGAAGAAGGCCUGCGGGUUGUAAAGCACUUUCAAUAGGGAAGAAAAGCUUAAGGUUAAUAACCUUAGGUCUUGACGUUACCUAUACAAGAAGCACCGGCUAACUCCGUGCCAGCAGCCGCGGUAAUAAGGGCGA